Equus asinus (donkey) is the source of this 3536-nucleotide long non-coding RNA. Lineage: Eukaryota; Metazoa; Chordata; Mammalia; Perissodactyla; Equidae. The record is from Ensembl.
GCGCCCCUCCUCCCGCCCGCGCACGGGGACUCUUGCGCAGGGAUGCUGCGGUCGGGGGGUGGGGGGCGGCCGGAGCUAGGUCCGCGCAGGCGCGUGCCGCCCGCACCCCUCCCUCCUACCCCCUGCCCUGGUGGCGCCGGAGCGACACCUGGCCCUCUCCUUGUCGCCUCCCGCCGCGAGUCUCCCAGGCUCCUUCCCCGCCUCCGUCCCCAGCAUCAGGCCUUUGCGGAGGAGUACGUCGUCUUCUUACUGGUGACCUCGCGUCCGCCCGGGAUACGUCUUAGGAAACAGGACAAGGAAGAAUGGGCAUCUUGAGGAGCAGGAUGAGAUCAUAGAUUUUAAGAAGAGCAGCUAGGAAGAUAGUGGGUUACAAGGCAAAGCAUCCUGGACCAGGAAUCAAGAGGCCUCAGUCCAGCUCUGAUCCUCAGUCAUUUCACAGCAGGUGAGAGAAACAUGCAAUUCUUCCAAUAAAUGGUCUUAAAAGGAGAGCCCAAGAGAUGCUGCACAGCAAUUUUCGGCUUCCCAGAAGCAGCAGACGUGCAUAAGAGUCCUCAAAAGGAGCCUUGAUCUGCACCAGCGCUGAGGAGGACAACAUGAACCUAUGCUUACAUUUUGGGGGAAAUAACUGGGAAGGAGAAGAGAGAAGGCCUUAGAGAAGGAGUUAUCCCUACACAGUAAUAAGAGCCUGUUAACUUGACAAGAUUGCCGGUGGUGACGGGAAUAGUGACCGGCUCUACACACACGCACGCCAGGCAUCUUAGCUCGUCUAAUCACCAGUGCCACCCUCCACUCUCCUGGCAACCAUUUGCCAAAAAUAAAUAAGCCCAUAGCACUAUGAAGAUUGAGCUUUACUAAUUUACUAGCUAGGAAAAAGUAGGUUAUAGUUUCUGGUGAAUAUUUAUAAAAAUCUCUAUUCACUAUAACUGAUACUUAAGGAUUUUAUUCAAAAUUGUGUAGCAGUACAGAAGUAAAUGAGCAGACAUUUCAUCUGAGUAGAAAAGUGGGGGCUAAAGAGUAAAGCUGAAUAAUAACAGAGUCAGAAAGAAUAAGAAGGCAAAAAAUAAAACAUUGUGACUACAAAACAACUAAAACCAAGCGAUGAUUGCUUGAAAUGUGUGAAUAUGCCCUGACUGGCUGUGAGUGACACAGCAUCUGUCCUCCUUGAUAUCACGGAGCACAAAUCCUGUAAAACUCCAUGUGACUAGUAAGGAAAGCAGAAGCUAACACUACCUUACCCGGUAUUUGGGUAUUUCCAACUUACUGCUUCCUAUUCCACAGGCUUUAAAUAAUUAUACAAUGAGAAGAUGUAAGUAGAAAUAGCUGGCAUCCUACAACUCCUAUAAAAGUAAUGUAAAUGAGUGACAUCUGUGUAUCUUUUGACACAAAUGCUCACCAAUAAAUGCAGAAGAAGGGAUAAGAGUAAAAAGCCAAGAUUUUCCAACCACCAUAGUAAUUGAUUCUGGCUAGAAUUAUCAAUGGAUGCUAAAAUGAUUGGUUGAAGGAUUGUUAAGGAACAAGAUAUUCACACAAUCUGAAACAUCAUUCCAGGGAUCAUAUUACUUACAAAGGGAAAAGGAAGUUUGAGAAUGGAAAACUGGCAGACAGUACCUUAACCAAAUGAUCAAGUUAACAUGACCAGUAAUGGGACAUACUGAUACCACAUGCCUCCUGCAGCGAGGCACUGAGAGGAUACCAGGCCUGCAAUCCUGCGUGGCACCACGGCUCCGAAAGGGCAGCAGAAAGCUGCUACACAGAGCUGCUUCAUGAGGCUUUCAGGGAAACCAUUAGGUUGAGUCAAAAAAUGGAAUGCUGGUGAGAGUUUUGGGUAGUAAGUUUCAGCAAAACUUAUUGACAGCAGGAAUUUUGCGGAGACUGUGUGUCCUCUCAGGAAACUGGCGUUCAUAUGGAAAUAGUUCUCAGCUGCUUGAGGAGCAGCAGUAUAACAAAUCUGCAAGGGUCUCCAUGGCCAAUUCAAACCUCUCUGCUCUCGUGAAGGCCAGGGUCAGCGCCCUUCUCCAAGUACUCGUCCUGCAUCUCUACCACCAGGAACUUACUGAUGAUGUCCUUCCCAGCGCCUUUGAACAAGACAACUUUUAGCCAAGAAAGAUUUCCUAGGCCAGUGCUUCACACACUUUCAUGUGCACACAAGCCCCUGGGAAUCUUGUUAAAUUGCAGACUUCAAUUCAGUGUGUCUGGCAUGGAGCCUAAGAUUUUGCAUUUCUAACAAGUUCCCAGACCUGGCCUUGCCACUCACUGAAUUCUUGGAACACUGCUGUGGUCAUGUGAAGAAGCCCAGUUAGCUUCCUUGAAGAUGAAAGACCACAUGGGAGGAGAAGCCAGCCAUCUCAGCCUCCCAGCUGAGAGCAGCCCCAAGCCCACGGACUCAUGGAAUGCAGCUACCUGAGCAAACCCAGAGACCAAAAGAUUACUUUCACUUUCUUGUUCUCUUUCUCAUUUGUAGGUUAACUGAGUUACUUAUAUGGGAAAAACCUAUAAAUUAAAGUAUUCUUAAUAAACUUAUAUGGAACAAAUCUGGAAAUUAAAAUAUUCAUAAUAAACUAGAAAACAUUGCUGUAUUCCAUAAUCUAAAAUAUGAACAUAAUAUGCAUUGCAAUUUUUUGAAUUCCCAGAGUAUGUGGAGAGUGAGAAUGAAUAAAUGAAUAAUGUUAAAGCCAAACGUAGUCUAUCACAUCCAAGAUUUAAAAAAAAAAAAGCUAAAAAACUGGUCACUCAUGAUAAAAGCAAUUUUUAAAUUGCUGAGUAUUUUAAUAUUUAAAAACUCAGGAUAGUGAAAGCUGGAACCUGAAAAGAGAUAUAUAAAGAUGGUUAUAUAUAUAUUUUUUCUAACGUAAGAAUAAUUAUUUCAGAUUUUGCUAGAUUUAGAGUUUUGAUCAAAAGUCUACAAAAAGUAAACAAACAAACAGGAUUUACAGUCAACAUUGUGGGUAGAUAAGACAGAUAAAUUUUGUAGGCAAGAGAUUCCACCAUUAUUAACUACAGACAACAUCUUUCUGCCAGUUGGAACAUACCAACCUUGCAAAAUGGAAUAUGCUUUGUUUUUUGUUUUUUAAAAAGCAUAGUCUCUUAAAAUCUAGAACUGGCUGAGCUUAAAUGUUAGAGAAGUUAAUUGACUUGCCCAAAAUCACAGUGCUGGGAGGUGGCUUAGGUAAGGUGAAAAGUGAUUUCUAACUACUAGUCUAAUAUUCUUUCCAUUUACCAGUCCACUACCUUCUUUUAUCAUGUUCCUGAAUAUUUUAGAGGUUUAUGCUAUUUUUACAGGCGUGUGUGCCUUCAGUUUUAGUUGGGAAAAGUGAAGGAUAGUUGCUCCCUAGUGUCAGAACGAUAAACCCCACUGAUUAAUUGAUUCCUUCAUUCAAUAACUAUUUACUCAGUGGCUUCUGUUAUGAUAGGCUCUGUUCUAGGUUCUAGGGCUAUAGCAGUGACCAAAUUGGACAAUAGUUCUCAUUGUUGUGGAGGAUUUUAGUGAGGGAUAUGAAGAGCUGCACAGGUAAAGUCUCCAGUACUCCAGGGGUUAG